UUUUAUGGAGAGUUUGAUCCUGGCUCAGGAUGAACGCUGGCGGCGUGCCUAAUACAUGCAAGUCGAGCGAACAGACGAGGAGCUUGCUCCUCUGACGUUAGCGGCGGACGGGUGAGUAACACGUGGAUAACCUACCUAUAAGACUGGGAUAACUUCGGGAAACCGGAGCUAAUACCGGAUAAUAUAUUGAACCGCAUGGUUCAAUAGUGAAAGACGGUUUUGCUGUCACUUAUAGAUGGAUCCGCGCCGCAUUAGCUAGUUGGUAAGGUAACGGCUUACCAAGGCAACGAUGCGUAGCCGACCUGAGAGGGUGAUCGGCCACACUGGAACUGAGACACGGUCCAGACUCCUACGGGAGGCAGCAGUAGGG
RNAcentral lists this ribosomal RNA (370 nucleotides) under Staphylococcus epidermidis. RNAcentral describes it as "bacterial SSU rRNA". It matches the Rfam family "Bacterial small subunit ribosomal RNA", at positions 1 to 359 of the family's 1533-position model. Lineage: Bacteria; Bacillati; Bacillota; Bacilli; Caryophanales; Staphylococcaceae. The record is from RNAcentral.